UACGAAGGGGGCUAGCGUUGCUCGGAAUCACUGGGCGUAAAGGGUGCGUAGGCGGGUCUUUAAGUCAGGGGUGAAAUCCUGGAGCUCAACUCCAGAACUGCCUUUGAUACUGAGGAUCUUGAGUACGGGAGAGGUGAGUGGAACUGCGAGUGUAGAGGUGAAAUUCGUAGAUAUCGAGAGGAACACCUGCGGCGAAGGCGGGUUGCUGGGCUGAUACUGACGCUGAGGCGCGAAAGCCAGGGGAGCGAACGGG
RNAcentral lists this ribosomal RNA (253 nucleotides) under uncultured bacterium. Its description in RNAcentral is "partial 16S ribosomal RNA". It matches the Rfam family "Bacterial small subunit ribosomal RNA", at positions 524 to 776 of the family's 1533-position model. The record is from RNAcentral.